This 380-nucleotide ribosomal RNA is filed under the name uncultured bacterium. RNAcentral describes it as "bacterial SSU rRNA". It matches the Rfam family "Bacterial small subunit ribosomal RNA", at positions 331 to 703 of the family's 1533-position model. The record is from RNAcentral.
CCAGACUCCUACGGGAGGCAGCAGUGGGGAAUAUUGCACAAUGGGCGAAAGCCUGAUGCAGCCAUGCCGCGUGUGUGAAGAAGGCCUUCGGGUUGUAAAGCACUUUCAGCGAGGAGGAAAGGUUAGUGGUUAAUAGCCACUAGCUGUGACGUUACUCGCAGAAGAAGCACCGGCUAACUUCGUGCCAGCAGCCGCGGUAAUACGAGGGGUGCAAGCGUUAAUCGGAAUUACUGGGCGUAAAGCGUGCGUAGGUGGUUUGUUAAGCAAGAUGUGAAAGCCCUGGGCUCAACCUGGGAACUGCAUUUUGAACUGGCAAGCUAGAGUUUUGUAGAGGGUAGUGGAAUUUCCAGUGUAGCGGUGAAAUGCGUAGAGAUUGGAAG